AGAUAGCCUAGUUAUUUGCAUCAUAAGUACAUCUUAAGCCAAGCAAAUCCUUUAUAUAAGAGGAAAGUAUUCAUUUGAAAAACCCCCCAAAAAUAAAAUAAAAUUGCCUAAGAUGGUGAUUCAGUAUCAUAGGUAACAGUAAAAAUAUAGAAUUUACGAGACAGUAGAAUACUGUGCAUUUUCUAACUGGAAGAUAAUUAAGAACAGGUUUCUUCAGAGACAAACAUUUCCUUUAAAUCUUGUAAAGAAAAACAAACAAGCAAACAAACAACUAUUAGCAAAUGGAUAGGAGGGAAGUUAAUUAAGGUAGCCAUUAAAAUCCUAAAUUUUAAAUGCUAUCUCAGAAUUACUUUGUGAGGAAAUUAGUUGAUUACUUAGCAGUGGUGAUGCCUAAGCACUGUGAGGCACUA
This 410-nucleotide long non-coding RNA is filed under the name Mus musculus (house mouse). Its description in RNAcentral is "long non-coding RNA chr1:152763788-152764198". Lineage: Eukaryota; Metazoa; Chordata; Mammalia; Rodentia; Muridae. The record is from RNAcentral.